CAGCCGCCGCGGGAAUACAGAGGGUGCGAGCGUUAAUCGGAUUUACUGGGCGUAAAGCGUGCGUAGGCGGCUUCUUAAGUCGGAUGUGAAAUCCCUGAUCUUAACUUAGGAAUUGCAUUCGAUACUGGGAAGCUAGAGUAUGGGAGAUGAUGGUAGAAUUCCAGGUGUAGCGGUGAAAUGCGUAGAGAUCUGGAGGAAUACCGAUGGCGAAGGCAGCCAUCUGGCCUAAUACUGACGCUGAGGUACGAAAGCAUGGGGAGCAAACAGGAUUAGAUACCCGCGUAGUCCCUGUCUCUUAUAC
Molecule: ribosomal RNA, 301 nt
Filed under: uncultured bacterium
Lineage: Bacteria
Description: partial 16S ribosomal RNA
Rfam family: Bacterial small subunit ribosomal RNA
Source: RNAcentral